CCUACGGGAGGCAGCAGUGGGGAAUCUUCCGCAAUGGGCGAAAGCCUGACGGAGCAACGCCGCGUGAUGGAAUGAAGGCCUGCGGGUUGUAAAGAUCUGGUGACAGGGACGAAGAAGCAAUGCAAAUAGAUUUGUGUAUGACGGUACCGGGUGAGAAAGCGCCGGCUAACUACGUGCCAGCAGCCGCGGUAAUACGUAGGGAGCAAGCGUUGUCCGGAAUUACUGGGCGUAAAGGGCGCGUAGGUGGGCGCUUAAGUCAGGUGUGAAACCGCCGGGCUCAACCUGGAGACUGCACUUGAAACUGGGUGUCUUGCGUGCAGGAGCGGCAAGUGGCAUUC
This 338-nucleotide ribosomal RNA is filed under the name uncultured bacterium. RNAcentral describes it as "partial 16S ribosomal RNA". It matches the Rfam family "Bacterial small subunit ribosomal RNA", at positions 338 to 669 of the family's 1533-position model. The record is from RNAcentral.